Molecule: ribosomal RNA, 253 nt
Filed under: uncultured bacterium
Lineage: Bacteria
Description: partial 16S ribosomal RNA
Rfam family: Bacterial small subunit ribosomal RNA
Source: RNAcentral
UACGUAGGGUCCGAGCGUUGUCCGGAAUUACUGGGCGUAAAGAGCUCGUAGGUGGUUUGUCGCGUUGUUCGUGAAAACUCACAGCUCAACUGUGGGCGUGCGGGCGAUACGGGCAGACUGGAGUACUGCAGGGGAGACUGGAAUUCCUGGUGUAGCGGUGGAAUGCGCAGAUAUCAGGAGGAACACCGGUGGCGAAGGCGGGUCUCUGGGCAGUAACUGACGCUGAGGAGCGAAAGCCAGGGGAGCGAACGGG